Molecule: long non-coding RNA, 454 nt
Filed under: Vitis vinifera (wine grape)
Lineage: Eukaryota; Viridiplantae; Streptophyta; Magnoliopsida; Vitales; Vitaceae
Description: long non-coding RNA (VVIN_LNC003892)
Source: RNAcentral
GGCAAGCAAAGUGGGACAAGGGUUGGAGAGUUGAGGGAGCUUUCCCACAUUGGUGGGAGUCUUGUCAUUCAAGAGCUGCAGAAUGUAGUUGAUGCUAAGGAUGCCUUAGAGGCCAAUUUGGCAGGCAUGCGGUACCUGGAUGAGUUAGAGUUGGAAUGGGGUCGUGAUAGAGGUGAUGAGUUAGAGUUGGAAGGAAAUGAUGAUAGUAGUGAUGAGUUAGAGUUGGAAGGGAAUGGCGAUAGUGGUGAUGAGGAAGGGAAUGACGAUAGUAGUGAUAAGUUAGAGUUGGAAGGGAAUGGCGAUAGUGGUAAUGAGGAAGGGAAUGACGAUAGUAGUGAUGAGUUAGAGUUGGAAGGGAAUGAUGAUAGUGGUGAUGAGGAAGGGAAUGACGAUAGUAGUGAUGAGUUAGAGUUGGAACAGAAUGACGAUAGUGGUGUUGAACAAAAUGGAGCAG